Molecule: ribosomal RNA, 497 nt
Filed under: uncultured bacterium
Lineage: Bacteria
Description: partial 16S ribosomal RNA
Rfam family: Bacterial small subunit ribosomal RNA
Source: RNAcentral
GAGGAACGCGGGCGGCGUGCCUAAUACAUGCAAGUCGAGCGAACAGACGAGGAGCUUGCUCCUCUGACGUUAGCGGCGGACGGGUGAGUAACACGUGGAUAACCUACCUAUAAGACUGGGAUAACUUCGGGAAACCGGAGCUAAUACCGGAUAAUAUAUUGAACCGCAUGGUUCAAUAGUGAAAGACGGUUUUGCUGUCACUUAUAGAUGGAUCCGCGCCGCAUUAGCUAGUUGGUAAGGUAACGGCUUACCAAGGCAACGAUGCGUAGCCGACCUGAGAGGGUGAUCGGCUACACUGGAACUGAGACACGGUCCAGACUCCUACGGGAGGCAGCAGUAGGGAAUCUUCCGCAAUGGGCGAAAGCUUGACGGAGCAACGCCGCGUGAGUGAUGAAGGUCUUCGGAUCGUAAAACUCUGUUAUUAGGGAAGAACAAAUGUGUAAGUAACUAUGCACGUCUUGACGGUACCUAAUCAGAAAGCCACGGCUAACUACGUC